Molecule: non-coding RNA, 98 nt
Organism: Coprinopsis cinerea okayama7#130
Lineage: Eukaryota; Fungi; Basidiomycota; Agaricomycetes; Agaricales; Psathyrellaceae
Source: the annotation of a RefSeq genome assembly
GCCCUCUUAGCUCAGUGGUAGAGCGCACCACUCGUACGAGCUUGAAAAGCUUCGAACAAGCAAUGGUGAGGUCGGUUGUUCAAUCCAGCCAGGGGGCA